RNAcentral lists this ribosomal RNA (515 nucleotides) under uncultured Fusobacterium sp. RNAcentral describes it as "bacterial SSU rRNA". It matches the Rfam family "Bacterial small subunit ribosomal RNA", at positions 378 to 912 of the family's 1533-position model. The record is from RNAcentral. Lineage: Bacteria; Fusobacteriati; Fusobacteriota; Fusobacteriia; Fusobacteriales; Fusobacteriaceae.
AGAGUCUGAUCCAGCAUUCUGUGUGCACGAUGAAGUUUUUCGGAAUGUAAAGUGCUUUCAGUUGGGAAGAAAGAAAUGACGGUACCAACAGAAGAAGUGACGGCUAAAUACGUGCCAGCAGCCGCGGUAAUACGUAUGUCACGAGCGUUAUCCGGAUUUAUUGGGCGUAAAGCGCGUCUAGGUGGUUAUAUAAGUCUGAUGUGAAAAUGCAGGGCUCAACUCUGUAUUGCGUUGGAAACUGUAUAACUAGAGUACUGGAGAGGUAAGCGGAACUACAAGUGUAGAGGUGAAAUUCGUAGAUAUUUGUAGGAAUGCCGAUGGGGAAGCCAGCUUACUGGACAGAUACUGACGCUGAAGCGCGAAAGCGUGGGUAGCAAACAGGAUUAGAUACCCUGGUAGUCCACGCCGUAAACGAUGAUUACUAGGUGUUGGGGGUCGAACCUCAGCGCCCAAGCAAACGCGAUAAGUAAUCCGCCUGGGGAGUACGUACGCAAGUAUGAAACUCAAAGAAAUUG